UCCUCUUCCUCUUCCUCCGCACUCGUCUCGUUCUUGGCUCUGAGGGGGCCCUCGGAACGUCCUGUUCUCUGCUGGAGCGCUGUGCACAGCCCGCCGGGAACAACAGUCAAGCGUCAUCCCGCCAUGGCUGGAGGAAACUGAGUGGAAAGAAGGAGCGAGAGAGAGAGAGAGAGAGAGAGAGAGAGAGAGAGAGAGGGGAGGGAGAGAGGAAGAGAGGGAGGACGGUAGAGAGACAGAGACAAUUAAAGCUAUAAAAGAAAGAAAGACAAAGAGAGGAAAAGACCAAGAUCACAAUAACAGAGAAAAACAAAAGGAUUGAGAGAAGAUGGAUAUGGAGAGUGAGGAGAAACAUUUGGGGAAGACCUGAGACAAGUAUAUGGUGUGUGUUUGCAUAGAUCCAUAUGCUGAAUAUGAGCUCGCUACAAGGGUUUAUAAAAGCCCCUGACACCAUGACAACCAUUACUCUCAUCUAGAUAUUUCAUAUCUGUUCCACAUGGCAAUUUCUUAACAUUAUAAACAGGCUCAGUCUCCCUAUCUUUACCCCCCACCACACACAUGCAUACACACACACACACACACACAUACGCACACACACACAUACACACACUUAAGGUGCAGUGUCAUGGAACGAAGAACGUUUUGGCGUGGUGCACAUGGGGGCCACAGCCUCAUGUUAAUGGUGGUGAUACUAAUGUGCAGAGACAGAGCUCAGGCCACACAUGCACACACACAAACACAGACACACACACACACACACACAUGCGUGUGCACAUACACUUACACACACACACACACACACACACACACACAAACACACACACGUGUGUGCACACACACUUACACACACCAAUGCGCAUGCACAUACACUUACACACACUUACACACACACACACGCACACGCACACAGAACUUACAUCAUAUCUGUUCCUUUCCCUGCACUCACAUGGGCUAGGUUGACUAGUAAUGACUUGAUACUAAUUCAAUGUUGCAGUUUGGUUGUGAAAAAAACUGUAGUCUUUCUCUCUCUCUGUCUCUUUAUACAAGAAUACUGCAUACACCAGUUUGGACUUACCUGUAUAUAUAUGCAUAUAGAUCUGCCAACUUAUGUGUUUCCUUAAAAGUAGGCACAAUUCCAUCUGCAAAUGCCCAUAACGACACGACUUCUUCCCCAUAGAUCCGACAUUUUCGACAUUCUUUGGAAUAGUUCCACUUCUGCCGAUGAAACCAACUUUUCCUCUAACAACACAGAACAUUGUCUUUUGCUUUUACCACCUCAACUUCAGCCUCCUCUCCUUUUCUUAGUGCGCAUUUAUGAAAACUUUUUUCCUUCUUCCGGAGGUCGGGUGGGGUUCUGGGAAGCCAUGUAGGGUGAGAGGCUUGUGUAGGAGACAGAGGAGAAGGGA
Clupea harengus (Atlantic herring) is the source of this 1403-nucleotide long non-coding RNA. The record is from Ensembl. Lineage: Eukaryota; Metazoa; Chordata; Actinopteri; Clupeiformes; Clupeidae.